Molecule: long non-coding RNA, 735 nt
Organism: Capsicum annuum
Lineage: Eukaryota; Viridiplantae; Streptophyta; Magnoliopsida; Solanales; Solanaceae
Exons: 2
Source: RefSeq, a predicted model, not a curated record
AGCGUUCCUCAUUUUUCUUCUCACUUUACUUAUUUUUUCCUCUUUUCAUUCAACUCAAUUUAGGUUUUCUAUUUACCAUUCUCCUUCUCAAUAGGGAGCCCUUGAAAUCAAUAAACUCUUAUACUAUUUCUAAUUGUCCAUCAACAUGUCGAUCAGAGCUUUGAAUUAGGAGGUUUGAACGAUUUGAAUCUUUCCUCAAAAACGAAAAUUAGGGGUUCAAUUUGUAAGUUGUUUCCCUUCUAGCUUCAAUUGCUUCUAGUUUAUGGUUUUGAUUUCCCAUCUCAAACCAUGGUCGCGCUUCUAUUACAGGUCUAUCUUCUAACAAACGAAGUAUAUUAUUGGUGGCUUUAUCUUCCUUGCCCUUUUGUUUUCAUAUCUUUUUAUUUGUUUCCUCCUUUUGUUCAUUUCAAUUAAUUGAAAUCUAUUUUUUUGUCUUUACGCUUGGGCUCAACGUUGCAUUUGAAAGUUCUUGGCUUUGAUUAGAUCGCAUUCGUAGCAAGAAGAGGCGUAACUAAGUCUUAGCUACGGACUUUACAUGAGCAGUGGCUAACAACUAAUAGUUAUAGCCACAAAUUUUUUAUGUUGUAGCAGUAUAGUAAAAUGUUCUUGCCACGAAAAAUACACUUUUUAGCAAGUGAUUUUAUUCUUUUGCCAUGACGAAGAAUAUUAGUAGCAAUAUUCAUAUUGUAGCCACAAGAUAUUAUUUUGUAGUAAAGAAAUUAAUUUAUUUGCCAA